RNAcentral lists this ribosomal RNA (1742 nucleotides) under Vibrio parahaemolyticus. Its description in RNAcentral is "partial 23S ribosomal RNA". It matches the Rfam family "Bacterial large subunit ribosomal RNA", at positions 414 to 2143 of the family's 2925-position model. The record is from RNAcentral. Lineage: Bacteria; Pseudomonadati; Pseudomonadota; Gammaproteobacteria; Vibrionales; Vibrionaceae.
AGGGCGGGACACGUGAUAUCCUGUCUGAAUAUGGGGGGACCAUCCUCCAAGGCUAAAUACUACUGACUGACCGAUAGUGAACCAGUACCGUGAGGGAAAGGCGAAAAGAACCCCUGUGAGGGGAGUGAAAUAGAACCUGAAACCGUGUACGUACAAGCAGUAGGAGCAGGCUUUGUCCUGUGACUGCGUACCUUUUGUAUAAUGGGUCAGCGACUUAUAUUCAGUGGCAAGGUUAACCAUCUAGGGGAGCCGUAGGGAAACCGAGUCUUAACUGGGCGUUCAGUCUCUGGAUAUAGACCCGAAACCAGGUGAUCUAGCCAUGGGCAGGUUGAAGGUUGAGUAACAUCAACUGGAGGACCGAACCGACUAAUGUUGAAAAAUUAGCGGAUGACUUGUGGCUAGGGGUGAAAGGCCAAUCAAACCUGGAGAUAGCUGGUUCUCCCCGAAAGCUAUUUAGGUAGCGCCUCGGACGAAUACUACUGGGGGUAGAGCACUGUUAAGGCUAGGGGGUCAUCCCGACUUACCAACCCUUUGCAAACUCCGAAUACCAGUAAGUACUAUCCGGGAGACACACGGCGGGUGCUAACGUCCGUCGUGGAGAGGGAAACAACCCAGACCGCCAGCUAAGGUCCCAAAUUACUACUAAGUGGGAAACGAUGUGGGAAGGCUCAGACAGCCAGGAUGUUGGCUUAGAAGCAGCCAUCAUUUAAAGAAAGCGUAAUAGCUCACUGGUCGAGUCGGCCUGCGCGGAAGAUGUAACGGGGCUAAGUAGUAAACCGAAGCUGCGGCAAUGUGCUUUUGCACAUUGGGUAGGGGAGCGUUCUGUAAGCGGUUGAAGGUGUGUGGUAACGCAUGCUGGACGUAUCAGAAGUGCGAAUGCUGACAUGAGUAACGAUAAAGGGGGUGAAAAACCUCCUCGCCGGAAGACCAAGGGUUCCUGUCCAACGUUAAUCGGGGCAGGGUAAGUCGACCCCUAAGGCGAGGCCGAAAGGCGUAGUCGAUGGGAAACGGGUUAAUAUUCCCGUACUUCUUACAAUUGCGAUGGGGGGACGGAGAAGGCUAGGUGGGCCUGGCGACGGUUGUCCAGGUUCAAGUGCGUAGGCUUAAGAGUUAGGUAAAUCCGGCUCUUUUUAAGGCUGAGACACGACGUCGAGCACCUACGGGUGUGAAGUCAUUGAUGCCAUGCUUCCAGGAAAAGCCUCUAAGCUUCAGAUUGUAAGGAAUCGUACCCCAAACCGACACAGGUGGUCGGGUAGAGAAUACCAAGGCGCUUGAGAGAACUCGGGUGAAGGAACUAGGCAAAAUGGUACCGUAACUUCGGGAGAAGGUACGCUCUUGAUGGUGAAGUCCCUUGCGGAUGGAGCUGACGAGAGUCGCAGAUACCAGGUGGCUGCAACUGUUUAUUAAAAACACAGCACUGUGCAAAAUCGUAAGAUGACGUAUACGGUGUGACGCCUGCCCGGUGCCGGAAGGUUAAUUGAUGGGGUUAGACUUCGGUCGAAGCUCUUGAUCGAAGCCCCGGUAAACGGCGGCCGUAACUAUAACGGUCCUAAGGUAGCGAAAUUCCUUGUCGGGUAAGUUCCGACCUGCACGAAUGGCGUAAUGAUGGCCACGCUGUCUCCACCCGAGACUCAGUGAAAUUGAAAUCGCUGUGAAGAUGCAGUGUACCCGCGGCUAGACGGAAAGACCCCGUGAACCUUUACUACAGCUUGGCACUGAACAUUGACCCUACAUGUGUAGGA